UGGAGUAAACAGUCAAUGACCACCCAGAAU
This 30-nucleotide non-coding RNA is filed under the name Rattus norvegicus (Norway rat). Lineage: Eukaryota; Metazoa; Chordata; Mammalia; Rodentia; Muridae. The record is from RNAcentral.